GAUUAGAACUAAGCCCAACAAAUCAGCAUCCGACAGAUGAAGGUUCUCAGAUUUUGAGGCAGUACUUGAGGCAGUACUGCAAUCCAGUGAAUUACAAGCUACACAUGAAAAUAAUGAAGCAUUUGUAAAUUAAUCUAAAUUCUAAAAGUAAAAAUAUUUAUUCGAUAAAUUAAUCUAUGUGCUGUAUAAAUUUGUUUUACUACUUAUUUACAUUUUUCUCAAUUUCAAUAUUUUCUUUCAACAAUGACAGAAACCAAACAAUGCCUUCAUCACAAUGCCUCCAUGACAAAUACUGUAACCUCUACAGGUGCACCCCUCACUGCACUAACAAAAGUGUUUUAAACCAAAGAAAAAUAUAUCAGAAUGAGAAAAGGGACAACAUAAAUCACUGACAAAAAUUCAAACAAAUUCAAUUUUGUACACAAAAACAUUUAGAAAUGAUGAAUACAUGAAAUGUAAUCUCCACUUAAAAAUGGUCUAAAAUCACCACAAUUUAAUUUUCUUCUAUGCAUAAUGAAUAAUAAAGGAUGGGACACUGUUCUUCCACUUUAUUUUCCACUGCAUUUUAAUACAACUGCAAUUUGAUAACACAAAAUUGCAAAAAGUGCAUGUUAUUCUAGUUCAAAUGAAUACAAGGGUACACAACAACAAGAAUCCGGCUUUUAGUGUUCUCAUUCCAGAAUGUAAAAAAAAUAACUAAAUGGCAACAACAACAACCAGAUGAGUCAUCAAUCUUAUAUUAGCCUCAGCCAUGCUAUCAAUGGAUACAGAGCCUUCUGGACACAGACAAACACACACACACACACACACACACACACACACACACACACACACACACACACAUUUUGCAGGCAUCAUACAACAGAAAUAGCCACACUCUCGUGUCUGCACCGUGGUCUAAUGUUGUUAUAGUGCACCACAGCUUAUGUCAGUCUCCAUGCAGCAGGUCCAACACCAGCCAUGUGCUCAGCCGUGUCAUUCUAGCCCUAAUGACAAUAUAAAUACUCAUCUCCCAGGGGAACAUUUCACAACCUGCUCAUCGAAAUAGCUCAACAAGGGAAACACAGAUGAUAUCUGGUACUAUAACGACUGGUUUUGCUGUCCUUCGAUGCACAAAUGGUAUUUUCCAUUGACUCCUCUGAUGACCCGCUUUUGGUUGCAUUGUCCUCUAAACAUGUCUCCUCCAGUGCAGCCUUGAACUCCUCAUUUGGGAAAUCACUAAGGUUAGG
This is a long non-coding RNA of Acanthopagrus latus (yellowfin seabream), 1229 nucleotides long. RefSeq lists it as uncharacterized. The record is from RefSeq and is a predicted model, not a curated record. NCBI's taxonomy places the organism in Eukaryota, Metazoa, Chordata, Actinopteri, Spariformes, Sparidae. The transcript is spliced from 3 exons.